AAGCUCGUAGUUGAAUUUCGGGAUCAGACUGUCGGUCGUGCCUCGGUACGCACUGGCAUUAUUGGUUCCUACCUUCUGAAGAACCGCGAUGUCAUUAAUUUGGUGUCGCGGGGAAUCAGGACUGUUACUUUGAAAAAAUUAGAGUGUUUAAAGCAGGCUUACGCUUGAAUACAUUAGCAUGGAAUAAUGAAAUAGGACGUUUGAUUCUAUUUUGUUAGUUUCUAGGAUCGACGUAAUGAUUAAUAGGGAUAGUUGGG
This 257-nucleotide ribosomal RNA is filed under the name uncultured Glomus. RNAcentral describes it as "partial 18S ribosomal RNA". It matches the Rfam family "Eukaryotic small subunit ribosomal RNA", at positions 624 to 886 of the family's 1831-position model. Lineage: Eukaryota; Fungi; Glomeromycota; Glomeromycetes; Glomerales; Glomeraceae. The record is from RNAcentral.